Non-coding RNA from Trichuris trichiura (human whipworm), 73 nucleotides. NCBI's taxonomy places the organism in Eukaryota, Metazoa, Nematoda, Enoplea, Trichinellida, Trichuridae. The record is from Rfam.
GGGCCACUAGCUCAAACGGUAGAGCGCUCGCUUUGCAUGCGAGAGGUACUGGGAUCAAUACCCAGGUGGUCCA